This 210-nucleotide ribosomal RNA is filed under the name uncultured bacterium. Its description in RNAcentral is "partial 16S ribosomal RNA". It matches the Rfam family "Bacterial small subunit ribosomal RNA", at positions 590 to 793 of the family's 1533-position model. The record is from RNAcentral.
AGAUGUGAAAAGCCCGGGGCGUCAACCUCGGAAUAGCAUUUGAAACUAGGCAGACUAGAGUACUGUAGAGGGGGGUAGGAAGUUUCAGGUGUAGCGGUGAAAUGCGUAGAGAUCUGAAGGAAUACCGGUGGCGAAGGCGGCCCCCUCGGACAGAUACUGACACUCAGAUGCGAAAGCGUGGGGAGCAAACAGGAUUAGAUACCCUGGUAG